GACGAACGCUGGCGGCGUGCUUAACACAUGCAAGUCGAACGGAAAGGCCCUGCUUUUGUGGGGUGCUCGAGUGGCGAACGGGUGAGUAACACGUGAGUAACCUGCCCCUGACUUUGGGAUAACUUCAGGAAACUGGGACUAAUACCGGAUAGGAGCUCCUGCUGCAUGGUGGGGGUUGGAAAGUUUCGGCGGUUGGGGCUGGACUCGCGGCUUAUCAGCUUGUUGGUGGGGUAGUGGCUUACCAAGGCUUUGACGGGUAGCCGGCCUGAGAGGGUGUCCGGCCACAUUGGGACUGCGAUACGGCCCAGACUCCUACGGGAGGCAGCAGUGGGGAAUAUUGCACAAUGGGCGGAAGCCUGAUGCAGCAACGCCGCGUGCGGGAUGACGGCCUUCGGGUUGUAAACCGCUUUCGCCUGUGACGAAGCGUGAGUGACGGUAAUGGGUAAAGAAGCACCGGCUAACUACGUG
Molecule: ribosomal RNA, 468 nt
Filed under: uncultured bacterium
Lineage: Bacteria
Description: partial 16S ribosomal RNA
Rfam family: Bacterial small subunit ribosomal RNA
Source: RNAcentral